This 253-nucleotide ribosomal RNA is filed under the name uncultured bacterium. RNAcentral describes it as "partial 16S ribosomal RNA". It matches the Rfam family "Bacterial small subunit ribosomal RNA", at positions 524 to 776 of the family's 1533-position model. The record is from RNAcentral.
UACGAAGGGAGCUAGCGUUGUUCGGAAUCACUGGGCGUAAAGCGCACGUAGGCGGAUGUGUCAGUCAGGGGUGAAAUCCCGGAGCUCAACUUCGGAACUGCCCUCGAUACAGCACGUCUUGAGUCCGGAAGAGGUGGGUGGAAUUCCUAGUGUAGAGGUGAAAUUCGUAGAUAUUAGGAAGAACACCGGUGGCGAAGGCGGCCCACUGGUCCGGUACUGACGCUGAGGUGCGAAAGCGUGGGGAGCAAACAGG